RNAcentral lists this transfer RNA (73 nucleotides) under Candidatus Woesearchaeota archaeon. Its description in RNAcentral is "tRNA-Gln". It matches the Rfam family "tRNA". From Rfam's summary of the family: Transfer RNA (tRNA) molecules are approximately 80 nucleotides in length. Their secondary structure includes four short double-helical elements and three loops (D, anti-codon, and T loops). Lineage: Archaea; Nanobdellati; Candidatus Woesearchaeota. The record is from RNAcentral.
AGCCCCGUCGUCUAGCGGACUAGGAUAGUGCCCUUUGGAGGCAUUGACCACGGUUCGAAUCCGUGCGGGGCUA